Molecule: long non-coding RNA, 538 nt
Filed under: Gossypium barbadense (sea-island cotton)
Lineage: Eukaryota; Viridiplantae; Streptophyta; Magnoliopsida; Malvales; Malvaceae
Description: long non-coding RNA (GBAR_LNC003706)
Source: RNAcentral
UCUUUUUUCUUGGUCAAUUUUAGAAGACCAUUUAUAUGUAUGCUGUUCAAAUUUUCUGUUUUGAUUUGAUUUUUUUUCCUGUGAUAGAAUCUUUGAAAUAUUGUUUUCUUUUUCCUCAUUAUAUGUUACAUUAAGGAUAGUUGAUUAGAAGCGGGAUUUUUGUUUGUUGUAGAAUAUAAAUUUGUAGGUCAAAGUUGUAAUUAGUAGGUUACAUUGUGAAUUUGUGUAGUUGAAAUGCUAAGUUGUAGGAGGUGUUGAGUAUUUGUGUAGUUGAAAUGCUAAGUUGUAGGAGGUGUUGAGUAUUUGUAGUAGGUCGAAGUUGUAAUUAGUAGGUUACAUUGUAAUUAGUAGGUUACAUUGUGAAUUUGUGUAGUUGAAAUGCUAAGUUGCGAGGAGUUUAGCAACUUAAAAAGCUAAUUGUAAGCUAUUGUGAUUGGGGAGGUAGUAGUAGGGGAAUCAGGUAUGAUUUUAAUCCUUCUGUUUUUUUCCACUUGUUAACUUUUAUAUAAACCUCUUGAGUAUUAUCUUCUAAACUUUC